CCUACGGGAGGCAGCAGUGGGGAAUUUUGGACAAUGGGGGCAACCCUGAUCCAGCCAUGCCGCGUGAGUGAAGAAGGCCUUCGGGUUGUAAAGCUCUUUCGCACGGGAAGAAAACUUAUGAUCGAAUACUUCGUGAGGUUGACGGUACCUUGAUAAGAAGCACCGGCUAACUACGUGCCAGCAGCCGCGGUAAUACGUAGGGUGCGAGCGUUAAU
RNAcentral lists this ribosomal RNA (215 nucleotides) under uncultured bacterium. Its description in RNAcentral is "partial 16S ribosomal RNA". It matches the Rfam family "Bacterial small subunit ribosomal RNA", at positions 338 to 543 of the family's 1533-position model. The record is from RNAcentral.